This 1002-nucleotide ribosomal RNA is filed under the name Chilarchaea quellon. Its description in RNAcentral is "eukaryotic LSU rRNA". It matches the Rfam family "Eukaryotic large subunit ribosomal RNA", at positions 417 to 1138 of the family's 3401-position model. The record is from RNAcentral. Lineage: Eukaryota; Metazoa; Arthropoda; Arachnida; Araneae; Mecysmaucheniidae.
AAACGGGUGGGCCCUCGAAAUCCUGUGGCGGGGGGUAUUCAGUCGGAAAAGGCGGAUCUGUGCUCCGGAGUUUUUUAUACGGAUCCAUGCGCGGACCGGUUUCGGUAGCACUGUUUCUGCUUUGCCCGACGCAUUUCCUUCCGUCCGAAUGGACGCCGCAGCCGGUUGGGUAGCAAUGCGAGACGGCCAUAAGGGCGGACAAGGCAGGUGACCGGUGGCGAGACUCGUUCUUUUCGCCGGUUGUUAGCCAGUCUGUCAGUGGCUCGUCGCCCGACCGUGGUUUUUGGGGCCUCGUUGGGCCCCUUGCCGUCUCCUCCCACUGUGUAGCGGAAGGAUGUCGACAGAUGCUCGAUGGCGCUCGACGUUUCACUGGAUCGUACCGUGUGCGUCGCGCCGUCGUCUUUGUUGGUUGGCACGAGUCCGCGGGAGUUCUGGUGGCUAGCGGCGAGUAGGUCGGUCACCCACCCGACCCGUCUUGAAACACGGACCAAGGAGUCUAACAUGUGCGCGAGUCAAUGAGUCUUGAAUAUGCUCAAAGGCGCAAUGAAAGUGAAUGCCGGUUCCCUCAGAACCUGGCCAGUGUUGGGACUCUCCGUCUUCGGGCGCGAGAAGCACCAACGACCCGUCCUAUCCGAUUUAUCGGUUGGGCGGAGUCUGAGCGCACACGUUGGGACCCGAAAGAUGGUGAACUAUGCCUGGGCAGGACGAAGUCAGAGGAAACUCUGGUGGAGGUCCGUAGCGGUUCUGACGUGCAAAUCGAUCGUCAGACCUGGGUAUAGGGGCGAAAGACUAAUCGAACCAUCUAGUAGCUGGUUCCCUCCGAAGUUUCCCUCAGGAUAGCUGGCGCUCGGAGAAUUCAGUCUCAUCCGGUCAAGCGAAUGAUUAGAGGCCUUGGGGCCGAAACGACCUCAACCUAUUCUCAAACUUUAAAUGGGUGAGAAGUCCGGCUUGCGUAAAGGAAGCCCGGACGUGUUGGAUGAGAGUGCCCAGUGGGCCACUUUU